Brassica napus (rape) is the source of this 2344-nucleotide RNA transcript. RefSeq lists it as uncharacterized. The transcript is spliced from 12 exons. Lineage: Eukaryota; Viridiplantae; Streptophyta; Magnoliopsida; Brassicales; Brassicaceae. The record is from RefSeq and is a predicted model, not a curated record.
ACGUAAUGGAAAAGAAUCCGAAGGCGAAGAAGAAAGAGAAAACCAAAAAGCGACCAACUUUAGAAAACCUAAUGGGUCACAAUCGCAAGGGUGCUGCGAAGGAUAAGAAUCCGAAGGGGGAGGAAUCUGAGAAGCGAGGAACGGUAGAAAAACUAGUGGAUCUGCGCCACGGUGCGGCGGCGGCGAAGGAUAAGAAUCUGAAUGCGAAGAAGAAAACUAAAAAGCCAGGAACUUCAGAAAACCUAGUGAAGGAUAAGAUUCUGAAGGCGGAGGAAACUGAAAAGCCGAGAGUCUCUUUGGCCGAAGCUGCGGCAAAGAUGGAUCCUUCAGAUCUUGCGGAUCACCUCGACGGUAUGAAAUUGCCGGACCUGGAUGUAAUGAGAUUUUACUAUUACUUUCAGAAAGCAUUUGCCCAAGUAUCAUGGAAAUGGGUGAAGAUGUUCAACGAGUCUCCUCUGUCCGCGAUCAUCGAUGUUCCUGUAUCUCAUAUUUCUAAGCCUAUCUACGAAUUAUCAGUAGAUUGGAUCAAGCCACGUGAAGUUAAGUAUAUCUCGGAAAUCAUAUUGUGGAUUUGUGAUCGUAUUCUGUACAAUUUGGUGGAUAAAGGUGGUGACAAUGCUCCAGCUUCUGUUUGGCCCAAAUCUCAGGCAGCGCAUUUUGUUGUACUGGCUAUGGUAUUGCGUGCUAGACCUGAUUCUUUGAUUGAGGUUUUGCCCUCACUGAGGGAUAAACACACGUACCAAGGACCCGACAAGCUUCCCCUUAUAGUUUGGAUGAUGGCUCAGGCCUCCCAAGGUGAUCUAUCUGCUGGCUUGUAUUCAUGGAUGUGUAACUUGCUACCGCUAGUCAGUAAUAACAAGUGCUGCUGCCCUCAGUCACUGGAUCUCAUUCUUCAAUUCGCUGAGUACAUGUUGUCUCGUCCAGAGGCUAUCACUGUGCUUGUAAACAACGGAGGUGGUGUUAUGGAAGGACAGCGUCUGGUUCCACUUCCUUCACUUGACAUCUUGCUGCGCCUCACAUUCCCUGCUCCAUCUGCAAGAGUUGAGACUACAAAGAGGUUUGAGGCAAUUUAUCCCUCUUUGAAGGAAGUGGCUCUUUCUCCAGAGAGGGCAGGAGGUGAAAAAUUUGCCUUGCGUAAUUUAUUCACGUUUGCCUUGACCUUAACUGGAGAAAAAGGGAAUCCUUCUGUUUUAACCAAGGAAGCUACAUCAAUCGCUAUCAGAUCUCUGACCGAAAACAUCGUCUGCUUUGACCACUGGGACAAACUUUAUGUGGAUAAUCCAGUCGCAAGUGUUGCCCUUCUCAAGAAGCUUGUAGACGACAAUCAGUUCCUCAGGCUAUCAACAUCACCAAUUGAUGAUACUCUCAGGGUCAAUCAAAUUAUGGAGAGCUUCAGGCGUAAGAACAAAAGAGCCAUCGCUGAAGGAGGAGCCAAUUGUUUUCUUUACAAAGAAGCUGACAAGUACUGCACACGGGUCUCUUGGAGACUCUUUGGGAGACUCCCGGAUGUUCCUUUAUCUCAUAUUUCUAAGCCUAUCUACGAAUUAUCAGUCGAUUGGAUCAAACCACGUCAAGUUGAGUAUAUCUCGGAAAUCGUAUUGUGGAUUUGUGAUCGUAUUCUGCACAAUUUGGUGAAUAAAGGUGGUGACAAUGCUCCAGCACCUGUUUGGCCCAAAUCUCAGGCGGCGCAUUUUGUUGUAUUGGCUAUGGUAUUGCGUUCUAGACCUGAUUCUUUGAUUGAGGUUUUGCCCUCACUGAGGGAUAAACACACGUACCAAGGACCCGACAAGCUUCCCCUUAUAGUUUGGAUGAUGGCUCAGGUUCGUGUCCUUUCUUUCUUUCCCGACCAAUCUUCCUGUUUGUGUUUGGUGUUUUUGUUUUUGUGAACUGUAAAAUAUGUGAAGCAUCCGUCAGUCAUUGGAUCUCGUCCUGCAGUUGAUUGAGGAGAUUCUGUAGCGCCCUAGGGCUCGGACCAUACUUGUAGAUGGAGCUCUUAGGGAUGGAGAGCCGCUGUUUCCACUUCCUUCAUUUGAGAUCUUGGUGCGUCUCACCUUCCGUGCUCCAUCCGCAAGAGUAAAGUCUACAGAGAGGGUUGAGGCAAUAUAUCUGAUGUAGCGCCAAAUGUGAUCUCCGUCGAUCACAACGGUACAGAGAGGGUUGUCCUCAUGGGACUUUCCUUUUCUUCUUUGAAUUAAGUUAUUUCCUUUUAUUUGUCUGUUUUCACUUAGGAAUAGGAAAUCACGUAAUCCCUUUAGGAUCGUGAAGUUUUUGUUCUUAUAUAAGCUGAGGCUAAUGCCCUCUUGUAAAGCACGCUUUGAUUGAAUAAGACAUUCUUGCCUCACAA